CAUGUCCUUUUGAAUAUGAUUUAAGGUUUAAUCUGCUCAGUGAUUAAUUAAAUUGCCGCAGUAUUUUGACUGUGCUAAGGUAGCAUAAUAAUUAGUUUCUUGAUUAGAAGCUUGUAUGAAUGAUUGGACAAGAGAUUUACUGUCUCUUUUUGAAGUUUUGUUGAAUUUUAUUUUUAAGUAAAAAAGCUUAAAUUUUAAUAAAAGACGAGAAGACCCUAUAGAGUUUUAUAUUUAAUUUUUAUUUGGUUUUAGAAUUAAUUUUAAAUUUUAAGUAUUUGGUUGGGGUGACAUGGAGAUUUAAUAAAUUCUUUAAGUUUUUAAUUGGUGAUUACUAAAUUUUUUAUCUAUAAUUUUUAAAUUUAAAAUAAAUUACCUUAGGGAUAACAGCGUAAUUUUUUUUAAAAGUUCAUAUUAAAAAAAAAGUUUGCGACCUCGAUGUUGGAUUAAAAUUAAUUUUUGGUGCAGUAACUUAAAAAUUAGGUCUGUUCGACCUUUAAUAUU
This 501-nucleotide ribosomal RNA is filed under the name Dihammatus sp. UPOL 001009. RNAcentral's name for it is "partial large subunit ribosomal RNA". The stretch from base 380 to 501 matches the Rfam family "Bacterial large subunit ribosomal RNA", at positions 2473 to 2595 of the family's 2925-position model. Lineage: Eukaryota; Metazoa; Arthropoda; Insecta; Coleoptera; Lycidae. The record is from RNAcentral.